UGGCGGCGAUAGCGCGGUGGUCCCACCUGACCCCAUGCCGAACUCAGAAGUGAAACGCCGUAGCGCCGAUGGUAGUGUGGGGUCUCCCCAUGUGAGAGUAGGGAACUGCCAGGGC
This 115-nucleotide ribosomal RNA is filed under the name Klebsiella variicola. Lineage: Bacteria; Pseudomonadati; Pseudomonadota; Gammaproteobacteria; Enterobacterales; Enterobacteriaceae. The record is from RNAcentral.